RNAcentral lists this long non-coding RNA (610 nucleotides) under Numida meleagris (helmeted guineafowl). RNAcentral's name for it is "lncRNA (ENSNMEG00000022144.1)". The record is from RNAcentral. Lineage: Eukaryota; Metazoa; Chordata; Aves; Galliformes; Numididae.
CACUGAACUGUAAGGAAUAAUUCUCCAUUCUGAAUAAUUUCCUACUCUUAAGGUUGCCUCCAACGAUCUUCAUGUGGCUCCUUCUCCAUGACACUACCAGUAACUUGCCUCGAACUUGAAAGUCACCAGCUACUUUUUUGUUUUAAUCCUGUCAAUUGAUCGAAUUCGGCACACUGUGAGACUUUCUCUACCAAAAAAAAGAAAUUCCCUCUGGUGUAGAAUCCUUUUCAUCUGCUCUGGAAUCAACCCAAAAACACUGAGAGAAUCCAAAAGAGCUCCCUGUGUCAGAAGCAUCGGCAGUGAUGAUCUUCAGGCACAUGAAGGAUGUCUUUGUCUGCUCACCUCAAGCGUUUCCUUGGAUGCUGUUUACCUGGAGAGUAGAUGGCCGGAAGGACCUUAAGAUCACAUUAUACAACCUCUUGCAUGUCCCAGACCAUCAAGUUUCACUGAGUUAUCUCAUUACUGAAAGAGUAUAAUGAAAGAGAAGCAGUAAAACGGCUUAGUCUAAGGGCAACCUUGCUCUUGUAAAGCCUUCUCUUGUCCUUCUCAAGCUGUUGAUUACCUAGCUUGCAAAUGGACUAAUAAACCACCUCUGCUGUCUCUCUUCCCA